GAUAAACGCUGGCGGCGUGCUUAACACAUGCAAGUCGAACGAAGUUUUUCCUUCGGGAGACACUUAGUGGCGGACGGGUGCGUAACGCGUGGGUAACCUGCCCUGUACAGGGGGACAACAGCUGGAAACGGCUGCUAAUACCGCAUAAGCACUUAUCACUGCAUGGUGCAUAGGGAAAAGGAGCAAUCCGGUACAGGAUGGAACCGCGUCGGAUUAGCCAGUUGGCAGGGUAACGGCCUACCAAAGCGACGAUCAGUAGCCGAUCUGAGAGGAUGUACGGCCACAUUGGGACUGAGACACAGCCCAGACUCCUACGGGAGGCAGCAGUGGGGAAUAUUGCACAAUGGAGGAAACUCUGAUGCAGCGACGCCGCGUGAGUGAAGAAGUAUUUCGGUAUGUAAAGCUCUAUAAGCAGGGAAGAAAAUGACGGUACCUGACUAAGAAGCACCGGCUAAAUACGUG
This 462-nucleotide ribosomal RNA is filed under the name uncultured bacterium. RNAcentral's name for it is "partial 16S ribosomal RNA". It matches the Rfam family "Bacterial small subunit ribosomal RNA", at positions 28 to 507 of the family's 1533-position model. The record is from RNAcentral.